AACGAACGCUGGCGGCAUGCCCUAACACAUGCAAGUCGAACGGCUCUUCGGAGCAGUGGCGCACGGGUGAGUAACGCGUGGGAACCUACCCCGAGGUACGGAAUAACGGCUGGAAACGGCCGCUAAUACCGUAUGUGUCCUAAGGGAGAAAGAUUUAUCGCCUUGGGAGGGGCCCGCGUCCGAUUAGCUAGUUGGUGAGGUAAUGGCUCACCAAGGCAGUGAUCGGUAGCUGGUCUGAGAGGAUGAUCAGCCACACUGGGACUGAGACACGGCCCAGACUCCUACGGGAGGCAGCAGUGGGGAAUAUUGGACAAUGGGCGCAAGCCUGAUCCAGCAAUGCCGCGUGUGUGAUGAAGGCCCUAGGGUUGUAAAGCACUUUCGCCGAUGACGAUGAUGACGGUAGUCGGAUAAGAAGCCCCGGCUAACUCCGUG
Molecule: ribosomal RNA, 432 nt
Filed under: uncultured bacterium
Lineage: Bacteria
Description: bacterial SSU rRNA
Rfam family: Bacterial small subunit ribosomal RNA
Source: RNAcentral